This 476-nucleotide ribosomal RNA is filed under the name uncultured bacterium. Its description in RNAcentral is "partial 16S ribosomal RNA". It matches the Rfam family "Bacterial small subunit ribosomal RNA", at positions 28 to 523 of the family's 1533-position model. The record is from RNAcentral.
GAUGAACGCUGGCGGCGUGCUUAACACAUGCAAGUCGAGCGAGUGAGUUCUUCGGAACAAUCUAGCGGCGGACGGGUGAGUAACACGUGGGCAACCUGCCUCAUAGAGGGGAAUAGCCUCCCGAAAGGGAGAUUAAUACCGCAUAAAAUUAUCGAGUGGCAUCACAUGAUAAUCAAAGGAGUAAUCCGCUAUGAGAUGGGCCCGCGGCGCAUUAGCUAGUUGGUGAGGUAACGGCUCACCAAGGCGACGAUGCGUAGCCGACCUGAGAGGGUGAUCGGCCACAUUGGGACUGAGACACGGCCCAGACUCCUACGGGAGGCAGCAGUGGGGAAUAUUGCACAAUGGGGGAAACCCUGAUGCAGCAACGCCGCGUGAGUGAUGAAGGUCUUCGGAUUGUAAAGCUCUGUCUUUGGGGACGAUAAUGACGGUACCCAAGGAGGAAGCCACGGCUAACUACGUGCCAGCAGCCGCGGUAA